UGCAGAAAAAUGUGGUUAUAUUAGGGGAGUAGUAAAAUCAAUUGUCCAUG
This 50-nucleotide transfer RNA is filed under the name Tiarina fusus. RNAcentral describes it as "Tiarina fusa partial tRNA". The record is from RNAcentral. Lineage: Eukaryota; Ciliophora; Prostomatea; Prorodontida; Colepidae.